AGUGAACGCUGGCGGUAGGCCUAACACAUGCAAGUCGAACGGCAGCACCGUACGAGCUUGCUCUUACGGGUGGCGAGUGGCGGACGGGUGAGGAAUACAUCGUACUCUACUUUUUCGUGUGGGAUCACGUAGGUAAACUUACUCUAAUACCGCAUACGCCCUACGGUUGAAAGCAGGGGAUCUUCGCACCUUGCGCGAUUGGAUUAGCCGCUGUCGGAUUAGCUAGUUGGCUGGGUAAAGGCCCACCCAGGCGCCGAUCCGUAGCUGGUCUGAGAGGAUGAUAAGCCACACGGGAGCUGGAACACGGUCAAGACGACUAAGGGAGGCAGCAGAGGGGAAUAUGAGACAAUGGGGGGGAACCUGAUCCAGUCAGAGCGAGUGGGUGAAGAAGGCCCUCGGGUUGGAAAGACGGUUUGUUGGGAAAGAAAAGCAGUAGGUUAAGACCAAGCGGGUCUGACGGUACCCAAAGAAUAAGCACCGGCUAACUUCGUG
This 492-nucleotide ribosomal RNA is filed under the name uncultured bacterium. RNAcentral describes it as "partial 16S ribosomal RNA". It matches the Rfam family "Bacterial small subunit ribosomal RNA", at positions 29 to 507 of the family's 1533-position model. The record is from RNAcentral.